RNAcentral lists this ribosomal RNA (494 nucleotides) under uncultured bacterium. RNAcentral's name for it is "partial 16S ribosomal RNA". It matches the Rfam family "Bacterial small subunit ribosomal RNA", at positions 28 to 507 of the family's 1533-position model. The record is from RNAcentral.
GACGAACGCUGGCGGCGCGCUUAACACAUGCAAGUCGAACGGAAAGGCCUGCUUUCCCUUGUGGAUUGCGGGUACUCGAGUGGCGAACGGGUGAGUAACACGUGAGUGAUCUGCCCCCAACUUGGGUAUAAGCCUGGGAAACUGGGUCUAAUUCCCGAUAGGACUGCAGGGUGGUGCCUGUGGUGGAAAACGAUUUUCUAGUGGUUGGGGAUGAGCUCGCGGCCUAUCAGCUUGUUGGUGGGGUAAUGGCCUACCAAGGCGGCGACGGGUAGCCGGCCUGAGAGGGUGGACGGCCACAUUGGGACUGAGAUACGGCCCAGACUCCUACGGGAGGCAGCAGUGGGGAAUAUGACACAAUGGGCGGAAGCCUGAUGCAGCGACGCCGCGUGGGGGAUGACGGCCUUCGGGUUGUAAACUCCUUUCGACCGCGAGGAAGCCACCUGGUUGGAAGGGUGGUGACGGUAGUGGUAGAAGAAGCACCGGCUAACUACGUG